GGCCUGUUAGCAUUCAACUCCUGCAUCCACGUAUCUUCAACGUGGCGUUCAGGUGAAGUUUCAGGCGAUGAGAUGGCUGGUGGUAAAGGAUGAAUUAGUUUUGGAACCACCACAAGAUCUCUUCCCAAAACUAAUAUAGCCCCUGCAUUAUUAGCAGUACCACAGUAAUUGGUAGCAGAGAAAAGCGUGAUUAGAUGUCCCUGGGCAAAACGCUCAAAGCCAUCCAUCACACAUUCAUGGGCACGUACAAUCAACUGCAGAUCAUUGUUGUUGCAGAAUUCCAUUACCCGAUCCGGCCCAAAAGUCACCAGCCCUGG
RNAcentral lists this unclassified non-coding RNA (317 nucleotides) under Hevea brasiliensis (rubber tree). Lineage: Eukaryota; Viridiplantae; Streptophyta; Magnoliopsida; Malpighiales; Euphorbiaceae. The record is from RNAcentral.